AUGUGUCAUCUUGGUGAGAUUUUGGAGCCUGAGGAAGUCGCUGUGCACCAGAGCAGAAAGCAGAGCUUGAAGUCCAGGCUGGCAUGGUUGAUGGCAGGGCUCUGGCCAGGCUGGGACCUGGUCCCCGGCUUCUCUCCUGCUCGCUGCACCUGCAUAGUGGUUCUUUGGACUUGUUAAUCAUGCAGGUGGCACCUCAUAAACCUGCCUUGGGGGCUCUGGGUUUGAAAACAAGUGUUCCUCAGGCCGAUUUACAGAGUGAUGUCUGUUUGACUGACAGCUGUUGCUGCUUUAUGGGAAGCCAGCACAUGUUUGCAGCAUAAAACAGGAAAACUUCUGCUUGCGUGAGAUGCUUCAGCCUUGCUCUACAUCUGGGAGGUGGUUCUUCCUGGCUGCUGCCAACCACCUUACAUGUGCUUUGGAUGCAAUUCAGUCCGUCAUAGCCCUGGUUGACUCAGUGGACAAAGUAGCAGGACCAAGCAGGCACAAAACCUGUUUCUAAUGGAGAGCUGUCACACCAUGUUAUCAUGAUGUCUCUUGGUUUUUGUUUGGUUUUUCGAUUGUUUUGUUUUCCAAUGGGUUGUUUUGCGUUGCAGGAACAUAUCUAAGAAAUCAAGAGAGAAAAAUCAGAAAUCUGGGAACCAGAUCAAGUACCAGCCACAAUGACAAAUUGGUCUGGAAAACUCUCUCCCUUCCCUCCCUGUGCUGAACCAGUGCUGAUUAGCAGUGGCACUGUUUUCUGGGGCAAUCUGCAGAAGAACAAGGUUAUCAUUACUUGACUGCAUGAGAGAAAGAGGCAGUGGUAAACAAACGAGCAUCAGAGUGGAAGACCUGAGAGCCGUUGCCAGCAGCACAAGUGCAUUCUCACACCAUGAAAAGUGAAGUGUUUAGAUCCACUUCGGUGGCUGCCCAUCUUCUAGGGUCCCAAGUGUGAAGUCCUGCUCUAUGAAUUCAGCAUCAACAAGAAGAGAUUUUUUGUAAGAUUUAAAGCCAGAAGGGAAUCAUUAAGAUCCUCUAGUCCAGGGGUGUGAAACUCAUUUUCACUGGGGUCCACAUCAGCCUCAUGGUUGCCUUCAAAGGACCGAAUGUAAAUUAGGGCUGUAUAAAUGUAACUACUCCUACAUUCAGGUUACCUGAGUCCUUAUUCACCAAGCCCAACUAGCAAAUCCAUUUACUGAAACUUUGGGCAUGGGAGUUUCUGCAAAUGCAUGGUUUCUUCUACAUACCUAUGUAUGUCUCCUUUGCUUCCCAGGUAUUCAGGCUGUAUCUCAAAGCCAUGAGGAAAGCAGCACUGACAUUUCUAAUAAUGGCAAAGAGAACCCCAGCAUGAACCAGCCACAGCUCCAAAAGUCUGUAAACUGCAGGUUGUUGGAAGCUAGGGGAGGAUGCCAGGGAAAUUACUAGCAUGAGCAGAUUCCUGUGCUCUUUCCAUCAGCAUCCAGUACUGGCUACAUCAGAGAAACCUAUAGACAAGUAUCUGCUGCUGCCUAGCAGAAUUGGUCAAUUAGGUUCUGACAUUACCUUAAAAAGCCUCCUGGUCUUUUCCAUCUGAAUGCAUUUUCCAUCUGAUUGCAUUUGGGGAGGCUAGUUGUCUUCAGUCUGUAGGUAUGUAUUCUGUUCCACCCCAGCCACCAAAACAAAAGAACCAAAAAAAACCCAAAUAAAAACAACAAAAAAAGAGCUUUUCAUGAAACUCGCUGUUACUGAAACUUGGCACAUAGAGCAGACUAUCAAACACUAUUAACCUUGCACCAAAUUUUGAGUCAGCUUUCAAGGAAUUUGUCUGAAAUUUCUAGCUGUAGUGAGGAAGACUUUGAUGGGAAAUCUCUUGAGAAACCUGUAUGCUCUGGGGAGUUCUGCUGCUUCUCGGUUCUGGGCAGCCAGCAAAUUGCGGUGAGAGCAGCUUUUUGCAAACUCUGCCCCUGCUGUCGGCUGGAACCGUGAGUUGCACAAGCCACUGACAUGAAUAAUAAUGUAUGGGAAGACAUUGCACAACACUUCCAGACCUCAAAGGAUCUGCAGUUCAUGCCAUUCAUGGGCAAAGGUUGGGCUCAUUCCGUGUUUUAGCUGGAGAGAUGCAUUUCACUGUGGCUGCUGCAUGAAGGCAAAAGCACGUGGCUGGGAUGCUUCGGGGAGGUAGGUCAUUAAAUGGUGUAGCUGUGGCUGGUGAACAGAGUGCUGCAGCUCCCAGAGGGCCCGCUGGAAGUGUGCAUUUCUCCCAGAGAACUUACCUAGAUACUGUGCUGGCCAUGUAAUAUUCAGCUGUUAUGGAUAACUUAUGAAAGGCAGAACAGUAUUAUAAAGGUGCUGCAUAAAAAUCUUGAUUUCAGAUAGAGAAACUGAGGCAUGCCACAAGUAUGAGCUCAGGAGGCUAGCAAGCCACAUGGAGGAAGGAUUAAAUCUCAUCAGGCUGUUUCUGCUAGGAAACACUGUUGCCCCAGCUCCAACAGCUGAGCUCUUGGUGGAUGCCCAGAAGGUACUGGCUGUUUUGUGUCUUACUGUUGUUUUGCUCUCUGUGUAAUAUGUCCUUCCAAGAAAAUGCCAUUUGUUUUAAAUAGUGAGCCCCUUUUUGAAACACAUUUUGUGUUUUGAGUGCAGGUCAAAUAGCAGACACUUUUGAUUAAUGCAACAUCGAGAUACUGAAAGAAAAAUAUCACAUGCCUCGGUGGGAAAAGGUAUAAAAGACAAACAUUCAGUGCUGUUCAACAUUUUGGGGAGGUGGGGAAAUGAGCAGGAAAGAUCAUACCUAAAUAGAAAGCCAAAGCCAAUGCUUGCAACUGCCAAGGCAUCAGCCAAAAGGAAAACACAACUCUGAUCGCAGUAAAAUCAUGUAUGAGUCAUGAUGGGCCAAGAACAAGUUUGCUUUUCUCCCUCAUUGAACAGAUGAUGAUUAAAAGAUAAAUCAUGCUUGGAGUCAAAUCAAGUGAUUGGAUUAAAGUUUAGUUGAGUAUUUAGAGACUGUUUGGGACACAAUGGAAAGCUAAUUGAAAACUUACAUUUGUGAGACCUUUGAACUCUCCAGCUCUUAAUAAAAUACUACUGCAAAGUACACAAGGGUUCCCUGUGGGAGAGAUUCCUCUCCACAAGUGCUUUUAUUUCUCAGGUAUGUGGAAAAAUGGUAUUCAUUUUCUCUACAAGUUCACCAAAGAAAAGUAUGUUCAUGAUUGUAAUUCAACUAUUGCUUAUGAUGCAGUAACUUAAUCUAUUCAGCUCACUGAAAAUCAGUGAAGCAAUACAAAGGAAAGUCACUUCUUUAAAAAAUGAAAAUUUAAACACUUCAUUCUUUUAACUAGUCUUUGCUCUUCUGUGCAGCUGGUUUUCCAGAGUGACUGGCUGCCUGCAUUGGGCUGAAGUGACUCUGGAGUCUUAAAAACUGUGUAAAAAUUCCUUCUGGAUGUGCUGUAGUAGGAAAUGUCAUGCUUUAUUUGUAUUAAUAAUAUAAUUGCAUUCUGGAAUCAACCCCAGUUCUUAAGGAACAUACCCAGUUUCCAGCUUCAAAGCACCAUCCUUUUUGGUGAAAAUACCAGUGAAACCCACAAAUAAAGAGAAUGAACUUCCCCAUGUCCAUACACACACAAACACACAGAAACUAAAAACCUGGUUCUUCAUUUGGCUUCUGUGUAACCAAGCACAAAUCUUUCACGGUAAUCCUUAGCAUUGAAGUGUAGCCCCAGAAACUCUGUAGUUGGGUUGAUUUGGCCCCUUGCCCUUUCUAACUCUUGCAGAUUCUUUGUCUGAUUUCUUACUGCCCUGGAGAAGGGGAGAUCUUAGGUGGCAACAAGGCAUUUUGCAGCCAGAGCCUGCAUGCCACAGGGUGUUAUAAGAGAGCAGUCUGGCUUUCAUGAAAACCCAACCCUAUGGAAGCUACUACCAGCAGAACAGAGAAGCAGGGUUAUUCACCAACCCUCACAUCUGCAGGUCAGAUGUGAACCCACACCAUCUAGGUUUGCUUCCAGGAGGACAAAAGGGGCAGACCUCAGUCUUCACGAUGGCAGGACCUGGGCAAACUGCAGAGUUUCAUGGCCUGUUGGUCCAAAAAUGGCGAUGAAUGAGUCUUAAGAGCUGUCUUCUCCUCCAUAUGCAAGAGUUUAUAUUUCUCCAACUAUCUUGACCUUUAGGAUAGUUUUUCUGUAAAAGGAUGAGUGCACAGAGACCAUAGGUGAAAAGUUUAAGUAUAGAAGGUUUGGAGGGUAGAAUGGGAGUAGAUUAUGCUUAUUUUAGAUGAUGAUUAUAAAUUACUUUUCAGAUACGCUUUUCAGAUUGACACAGAUAAAUCUAAGGUAAACCUGACCAGGUAGUUUUGUAGGUGUGAUCCCAGUGUGAUCAGUAUGAUGCUUUAAACCCAUGGAGUUUAGCAUUGGUCAUAGUCCUAUAGUUCAGCCAGAAGCAAUGCAGUGCCACUAGAGAAUCAGAUAUGUUGCAAAAGCAAAAACUCUAAAAUGUUCCCAAGCCCCCAAAUAUGUCUUGCUGUUGGACAGUGUAGCUGCACAGGGCUUCAGGAGACCAUGCAGUCCCUUUUCUUUCCCUAAUGCAUGACCAAUGGCACCUUUUUAGUCCUAACAGACAUGUCUUACCUAUUCAUAGAGGCUGGCAGUGAUUGCAGCCUUAGUACUUUUCCAUCCUUACUAACAGAAGAUAUUUCCUAAUGUUCAAACUGAUUUUUUCCCUUGCUUCCACUGGUGUGUGUGACUCCACAGUCUGUCCCCAUGUUCUGUCUUCCUCUUUGCCAUUUAUUUAGGUGGUGGACUUAGCAUGGCUCGCUUUAACAUUUCCACAUAGGUCAUGUGUCUUUGACCUCCUGCUGUUCCCUUUCCUGGGCUACAUUUCAGACCAACAGGUCAAGUAGUCACAGCGGAGCAAGUUGGUACUGGGAAUAGUCCAACUCCAGUGACUCUACAUGAAUUACCUCACCUUUGCCAAGGUGGGAAGGGUACUGUGCAGAUGAAGGAGCUUCAGCCUACGGCAUCAAGGUCAUCUGUGAGCACUGGAGAUCCUGCAUGUGAAAAAAACUGCUUCAGGCCACUGAGGACUGAAAAGGAUCAAACAAGAUCUUCCUGACUUGUCCCCCACACAACUUCUUCCGGAAAGGAUGCCCGACAGACCAUGGAAGAACCAAAUGCCAGCAUGCUGGAGCCUUUAUAUGCUGUCCUCUCACAUGUCGGAGCCAAUUUCUUGCAUCUCCUGCUGCAUGCGUUGGCAUAAUGAUCAGAUAUGGACCUUAGGGAUGCUGCACUCAGUGCUCAGGAUGGGCUGGUUGACUCAGAAUUGAAAGCAAGAUUCAGAAUCACUUAUAAGUAUUUGCAAGAUAUUCUUCAGGAUGUAAAGUAGUGUUUAAUAUUGCACAGAAGGCCACAGCUUUUGUCUGGUGUGAAUUUUCUGUUCUUAAGCACUUUGGGACUUUGAAAUGGCAUGGAAGUUGUAAAUGACCAUGUAAGCAAGCAAGUGGAAACCAUGCUGGGAACUGCUUUAAGAAUAAUGAGUUGAUGUGUCCCCAGACCUGCAUGUGUUCACUUCCACUAUUUCUGCAAAUCUCUGGGUGUUUUAAUCUUUUCCUUAUAGAUGAUGAAUGCAGCUUUAGGCUAGAAUUAAGGUAUUCUGAACCCAAAAACUUGGCAACUAUUGCACAGGUACAGCCAAUGCAUGAAAUACAUUUUCAGAUUCCUCCAGCAUCUGAGUUUUCCUUUUUGGUGGCCUUGCAGCCACAACUGUUUGACAGGACUAAGCACCUUGAUGCUUUACUUACUCCCCUAACUGACAGAAAUGCCAAAAGUGGGUAUGUCUGAAAAGAUGCUCUUCUUCCCACAACUCUAGUCAACAGUGCUUGCCUCCACCUGGGCAUGCAGGUAGACUUAGCCAUGCUGUGUCCUCUAGCCAUGCCCAGCACACCUGGCAGACAUGCUCAGAGCUCAGCCAGACACAAGAAUCCACAUGCAAUGAUAGUGUAUGAAAUGCUCAACUUCUAUCAGGUCAGGAACAAGAAAAUGCAGCAGAAAUGCAGCCCAACUUUACACCACAAGCCCACUGUCACAUUGCUGUGUAGCCGGUGUGAUCGUGGUCAUUACUAUGUAUGGCCCACCAUGUCUGUCUGAAAAGUCUGCGUAGUCCCUGGCAAAGAGAUCUUCCCAGACGUGCUGCAGAGACUUUGCCCAUCAUGUGAUGUGUACAGCAUUUUUUCCCCUUUGUUCUAGAGAGGAGUGUUUCGCCCAUGAUUACUUGGACACGUUGCAAAAAAAUAAAGCAUUGCAUUAUGAGAAAGGGAGCCACUCAUUUACAAAAAAAUGCAAAAAGUCACGUAAAAUGUGAAAUAAGUAUAAAAAAAAAGAAUUCCUGUACAAGAUCCAGCUGCAUGAAAAUCCCCAUAAAUUGUGAAGAUUUCAGCGCUGCGAUGAAGUCAUGCAAUCAGGAAGAUUGCGGUGUCUUGAGGAAUGACGCAGCCCGACUUGCAGCCCACACGUAGUUUCCCUGUCACGGCAACACGACAGGCUGGGUGAAGUCCUGCAGCCAUUGCAUUCCUUCAGUCUGAGCCCCUCAUCCCGCUUCAUGCAUGCCCGUAGCUUGCAGGUACGGAUGUGGUCAGGCAGGAGAGGGAAUGCGGAGCUGGGCAGGCAGGGCUGUCGUGGCAUUUUUUCUGAGAAACAGAAAUAGAAAUUCAAGUUUUUUCUGUUGUUUCUUGCCAUAACAUUCAUCGUGGCUAAUUAAGCUUACAGCUAUGAUUACGACCCUGCAGCUCUGACCUUGUAGUGCAGAGAAAGAUGCUACAUGCUUUGCACCUCCCAUCCCCUUUCCAGCAGAGGUACCCAGGAAGGGGGUGCCAGGAAGGGACUUCAUUUGUCACUUGGCAUCUUCAGGAAUCCCUCUGUGCCUGUGCUGCACCAGGGCUUUUGACCCAGGCCAAGGCAUGCCUACUGAAGCACUGCAGAUGCUUUUGAUGUCCCACGAAAGACUUGCUUCUUUUGUGUUUGUGUAUGUGCUGUGCCACAUCAGUUACAGAAAAGUGAAAUGUGGCUCCCACAACCACAGAGGGCUUCAGAGAGGGCUAUGGAUCUGCUGAUCUGGGUCAAACCUAUAUCUGAGAGGCCACCAAGGUCAUAGGAAGCUAGCAGAGAUGGUGCCAAGUGGUGAGGAAAGGGUACCACCAGUCAUGGAGUGACACCAUCAAAAAGUACCAUCCAGUUGCUUCCCAACCACCUCCUCAUGGUGAUCUGAAUUUCUCCAGCUCCUGGUCAUUGUUUGCUUUUAUUUUAUUUGUGGUUUUCUUGUGGUGGAGUCUCACUGCCUGCUCAGAGGGUUGGCUCACUGGUCUUCAUAUUUUCCAAAACCACCUAACCUUGUUUACAGUUAAUUUGUGGGGCAAGGCUGAUCAACAGCCGGCCUCCCACCUGCUGUCCUUAGUCAGUGAGGAACAGGGACAGCGAGUUCUCUCACCCUGUAAAGAGAGUCAGUGCCCAGCAAAGCCAUGAAGGGUUCGUGGAAGCAGGACAGCAGCAGAGCCCGGCAUGGCUGAUGCUGCACCGCUGUGUGUUAGGAGCAGAGUUCUUUCCCCAGAAGCGUCCAAACACGCAGCUCAGCAGCAGCUCAGUGCUUCUGGUGCAGUAAGAUUUGACAGCAUGAAAAGCUCUUCCCGGGCGAUUUCAGGAGUUGUUUUAGCAUUUCUGAAUCUUGCUAACAAAAGCCAUGUUGGUGCAGAAGAAUUUGAGCCUUCUGUAUGACCUCUAUGAAUUAGAAGAUGAAGGUAAGGGCAGUAUGAAGGAGCCCAGGGGUGUUCCUUGCACUUCUCAUGUGUGAAGGCAACCAAAAGCCACCCACUGUACCUUAAUCCUUACCUGUAACUGAUGAACUGUGUUACACUAGACAUGAUAAAAAAAUAAUUCUCCUCCUAAUGGUGAAAGUUUUAUCCUGUCUUCUGGCUCCUCUGUGCACUGGAAGCAGAAACUGUGAUAUGUUGCACCAAUUACUGAUAUGCUGAUGCAUGAAAUUGUCAUUGCUGUUGCAAACUUACUGCAGGACCUCUAUUGUCUGUCUUGUUUAUAUUGAACUAUGUCGUAUCAAAAUCAGUAAGGAAUCAGCUUCAGUUUGCAUUUGCAUCCCUGAUUGUUCUGAAUGAUGUUUCUGUGUGCCUAAAAAAAAAUCCCCAUUUAUGGAGGACUGAAGCGCAUGCUUAACUCUAAACGUGUUCAGUGAACCCUUUUCAGAUACGGAUGCAUCCUAAACAGUGUGAAAUAUGUGCAGGGUUACGUGAGGGCCAGGAGAAUUGGUGCACUGAACAAAAUUCAUCUCAGAGUGAAGCUGACAGCACUCUUGUGGUAAUGGUCUUCUUGCAUGCAUCUACAUUACAGACGGUGCAGCUGGUCCCAGGCCUUUUUUCACUGCCUCUUUAGCCACAGGGCUGUAGACUUUGCUACUGCUAUUGCUCUCAAAAUGCUGCAACUUCACUCACUCAGCCCUCAUGUUUUGAAUCACUGUUGCUUUGAGGGGGGAGGAAGUUGCUUUCCAUCCCCUGGAUGUUAUUAAGAAAAAUCACGAACUGUCUGAUUAUUAUUUUUCCUUUUUUUUUUUUUUUUUUGGUCUUAAAAUGCUGAGAUUAAUGAAUGUGCUAAGCCUCACACCACCAGAAAUCCAAGGAAACAGAACAUCUAUUUAUAAAAAUAAAACCACAAAUUGCCCCCAGCGUUCACGCAUCAUUAGAAAGCUAAACCAUGGCCCCAGAAAUCAACCCCUUUGGUCUGAACAUGUGCUCACAGCACGGGGAGGAAUGGACUGACACAAAGCCACACUGUAAGGAGGUGCACAGAGAAGCAGCCAAGGCACUGCCCAACCUCUGCAGCAUGGAAAACCCAGGAGGUAAACCAGUCCCACAGAGACCAGGAAGGGUAAUUUAAAAAAAAAAAAAAAAAAAAAGGCAAAAAAGCAAAAUUUGGGGGACAUCUUCCAGUCUUCGUCACUGGUGUUUGCAUAGAUUGUUUGGGGAAAAGGGAAGGAGGAUGGUGAAUGAAGGGCUGCCUGGAGCCCAUAAGCACCUUCCUGGGGAGAUGCUGGAUUCUGUGCUGGAUCCCACCUUGGACCAGCACUAGCCUCUUUCAAGGGAACAGCCUCCCAGUACUCCUCCUGUGCACCCUGGCUGAGCAGUCACUUGCUGAGUUUAAAUGACACAAGAGGGAGGAUGCUGUUUGCAUGUGAUCUGGGCUGCCACUUGUUUUGCUCCCCUGAAAUCAACUUGUCCUCAAGCACAAGCAGAAGAGUUUUAUCUGGCUACAAUUCUGAAACUUGGUUCAUAUCAAUUAAGCUUUUAAAAAUACAGCCCUUAUGGCCACCUCCGUUUGUUAGUAAUGGAAGAUUAUAUAUGGUAAUUAGGGAACAAAUAUAGCCUAAGCAAAUAUCCCUUUUCUUGCGCCUAAUGAAGCUUUUUUGAUGUCUUAUCAAAAGGAUCUGCUACAAAAGAGCAACACCUGCUGAACGUGGCAGCAAGACAAAAGGGGUGGCAGAAGUAAUAAAACAAGAGCUCGCAAGGCGGUAUCUGGUACAGACAGCCUCAGCCUUAGACCCCUGCAGCACUGUCGGUUCAGUCUCAGGAGCCUGAGCUCUUGAACAGGCUGUAAAGCUGUCUGGACAGCAAAGCUGUCAGGUGCAGUAGGAUCACAGCAGCCUCGACUUCCUAGCGUGUAUAAAGAUGAAAGGAGAAAAUAGACACACAUACACAUGCUAUCAAAAGAGCAGAUGACUGCAUCCAAUGGCCAGCACAGGCUGCUUCUUUCUUUGCUUUGCAAAGCGCGCCGAGAUACAAUUAAGGUCUAAUGGCAAUUAGACCCCUAGCAAUAAUGAAAUAAGUAGACCUAAUUCUCUGCUAGACCUUGCCCAGGUUUUCCCCCAGGAAACAAUCCCUUCUCUUCUCUCACUCUUCUUAUUUUUAUUUUUGUUUCACUAGACUUAGGGGGAAUUUUACUAUUUUAUUGAUGAAAAGAGGGACUUCUCUGCUCUUCAGUAAACCCACAAAAAAGAAACUGAAAACUGACAUUUCUGUGAAAACUGUCUCAGGGGCAGGGUGGGAGAGAAAAAGAUGUCUUUCAUUACAUCUUGUGAAUGAGAAAUUUUUUACCCUCUUCCUUCAAAUGUAGAUCUUGUGGUCUCCCUCCUCAUAGGGAGCAGUGUAAAUAUAGCCUUUGCCUUUCCCCAGUUUAAUCCUCAUCUUCACCAUUGCAGGAUCGCUCCAGCAAAUACCUGGGAUUAGAGAUCCAGAGUUUUCCUGACUCACAGAGAGCAUUUGGACCAAAGUGAAGCACUUUGAGAAUAUCACCCACAAGGGAUGAAUCUCAUGUGGAUUUGCAGUUUCUGCAGAAAAUCUGAGCAGGUCCCUCAACUGGUCUGUCAAAGUGAUCUGUUGAUGACAUCUCUCGCUGCAGAUGAUCUUUUAAGCUAUGUGGGGUAAUGCGUUUGUGAAGGAAAAGGACAAAGGCACACUGAGCAUGCUUCUUGACAUGGUGACCAGUCCCUGCUCCAGUGGUAUCAGUGAUGCUCUGUCCCCACUGAGUGUGGUUCUAUGAUUUAUGGUUCUAAACAUGCCCAUUGUGGGGGGAGCAAGACCCGCUGGUAGCUCACCAUGGGACAACCACACAGGAAGGGCCAAAGUGAUGAGUUUGUGUCCAGCAAAUUUACAGCAUGGUUGUUUUCCAGAUGUUUGUGAAGUGCCUAGUACCACCUCCAGUGCUGCAACACAAGGUGAAAAGGCAGAUGUAGCUGUGGGGUAUGAUAGAUAGGCACGUCCUGCCACAGAUGACACUGUUGCUUGACCCUCUAUCUGCCUCUCACUGUCCAGAGUCCCACUGGGACAGGCAGGAGGAUGAGAAAAGAAUCCAAUUAAAUUUGUCCUGCCCCAAGCCUCAUGGUUGCAAAGCAACCAGAUGAAAAGCAGGUUGCAAACUGCUCUGCCCCUGCUCUGCCCCUUCUGCACUCCCUGGAAGCUUAAAAUCCUUGGGUGCUGUGAGCGAGAUGCUCUGGCAGCCAGACCAUGUCGUCUUUGAUCCACUGUGCUCCAUUUUCUACACCCUGAAAUUCUUUGGUUGAACUCUACUCCAACAAAGGUCUCAUGCCUAGUCCAGGAGGAGAUGUGAAUUUCUGGUCUUAACUGGGAUGCUGAUGGUCUGGGUGGCUGCGGGCAGCUCCACUCAUCUCUGUGUCUGGCUGUAUAGAGGGCAGGGAAACCUUCACCUCUGUGGUAGAGCUAAAGGCUGCUUGGAAAGCCCAUGGAUUGCAGGUGGGAGGUGAUGGCAAGCUGGAGAGCAUUGUUGUUUACUCACCCAUCUCUUAGUUUCAGCCUGUUUACGGCAGAACUAAUCCAUGCUCGCAAAGGGAAGGCAGGACGCUCAGAGCUGUCAGCACACACAGUUCCCAAACCCAUGAAUCAAUCAUCGCGAGUCCCAAACACAAGCAUAAAAUAUCUCAGACAAACUCAAUUUUCCAGCUUUGGAACAGGGUCCUUUUCUUUGACUUUUUCAUUUUACCAUUUUAAGUCCAAGAUUUAGUGCUGAACUGACAGGCUUAACUUGUAAAGUAACUGGCAAAUCUUGAAAGAAUUGUGGUUUUCUUCUUCCCAAAGGACAUUGCAAGUGACAUGGUUUUUCACUUUAGUGAUAGAUGGUACUUGCAGGCAAGUAUUUAGAUAUCUAAGUACUAAAGCAGCCACAGGUCUGGUUCCUAUCAAUAAUACAUUUUGUCACAGAGAAAUUGAAACAGCAUGGAUACCACACAUAGAAAUGGAAGGGCAAAUUAUACAUAAAAUUAAUUUUCCCCAUAAAGGCACAUAGUUUCAGCUGUCUCAGUUCACAGGAGAGUCAGUGGAUGUUCAUUUCCUGGGGAUUGCCCGCCCCUAAGUUUUACCUUUGUUUUUCGGAUACCGGUGAACAGUCUCUCAAAGCAGCGCAUGGGUGGAACCAUGCAAUCACAAUGGAAUUAGAAAAAAAAAUACAAAACCCCAAUUCCCUACCCCCACAAGCCAAACUAAUGGAGCUGAUUUGAUUGAAAUGUUUUUAAACCAAAGCCUGGAACUGAGAUGAGUAAUGAGAUGUGAAAGCAGGCAAGUGGCACGUGCCCUUGAGUGUCAGGGGAAAUAGUUCACCCAGCUCAAGGUACCACUGAGAUCUUCCUUGCUGAGCCUUCAGAGCAGUCACACAAGUUUAUGGUCCUCUACCUGUCCUCUGGGCAUUGGAAAAGCAGCAAUCACUCCUCAUUGCAGAGGGGAUUAUCAGGUUCUAGAACUAGUCUCAGCUCCUUCCCUUUUCAAGUCUUCCUGGAGUCUGUGAAGUAAGAGGAGCUUUUAUUAUCUGGGCAAAAAUGCACUGAAUUGCUCUCUUUUCAGACAAAAGAGUGUCCAAAGCUGCUAUUUCCCUGAAUAAAUGUAUCCGAAGGGCACAAGCAGUGUCUGCUCUCUGCACAAAUAUCUAAGGGGUAUGUUGUGUUGUACUUCUGGGACUUCCAGGAUCAGCAUCCAAUUUGGGUGUAAUGUUUUGCCAGGGAAACUACUGGUUUUCUCCACGCACCAGAAGAAGCUGUCAGACCUCAGAGAGGAGUUGUCCUUUCAGUAGUGCCUUGUGUCAGAGCUGUGGUGAACCUUCUCCGAGUCCUCCCAAAAGCUCCAUGGAAAGCCCCAGCCAAACAGUAGGAGACCUUCUCCCUCUCUGCAACUGUCUGAAAGGAGGUUGUAGCAUGGAGGGAGUUGGUCUCUUCUCCCAAGGAACAAGCGACAGGACAAGAGGAAACAGCCUCAAGUUGCACCAGAUGAGGUUUAAAUUGGAUAUUUGAAAAUAUUUUUGCAUGGAAAGGGUUGUCAGGCGUUGGAACAGGCUGCUCAGGGCAGCAGUGGAGUCACCAUUCCUGGAGGGGUUGAACAGACAUGGAGACAAGGUUCUUAGGGGCAUGGGUUAGUGCCAGGGUUGGGUUAACGGUUGAUGAUCUUGAGGGUCUCUUCCAAUCAAAAUGAUUCUAUGAUUCUAUUCUAGGAUUAGCACUUCCUCCACAGGCAGAGGGAGUCCAAAUCGUGCCAGAAACGGCCAUAGAUAGGAAGAGACAGCUCAUGAUAACAGUCACCUAAAGGCAACAUUGUGGCUCAUGCCCCCUUGGAUGGCUCUUGCAGCACCUUGCAGCUCUCAUGUCCUGAAAUGACCUUCUGGUUUCUCACUCACAUUGCUUCAUGGCCCAUGGUCUUCCUCUGAUAUUAAAUGCUCAUUCCUCUGUGGGAUCACAAGUCUGGUGUGGUGUCUCCUCACUGGGCCCUGGGUGUGCCUGAAGAAAUGAGCCUUUCAAGGAGUUCUGGGUGGGCUCCUGGGACCCACCUGGCAUUUUUAAGGAUUUCUGUGCACACUGAACACCAAACUGUCUGGCGUAAAGAACUACUGAGUAAGGCAAUGAGGCACCCAGUGGCUUUAGGCACUGUCCAAGGAUUUGUACACUGACAAUUUGGAGUCGAGCAUCUCAGUGGCCCAAGUCCUAAGCAACUUGGUAGGUGAUAUAAAAGGUGUUUGAAACAUAUCUCUGUCUUGUCUAGUCAGGAAUGUCCUCCUUUUAUACUGUCAAGUGUAGCACAGACAUAGACAAGCUCCAUUAGAUCAUCCAUGUUCCACAAAACAUGGCUGGGUUUGGUUAUCUCUUUGCAGGUUUUCCCCUGUUCUGUCUUGCUCCAUUUCGCUGGUAACAGGAGAUUUCUUAGGGCAGUAACUGAAUCUGCUUUCUUUGCUUGGAAGACUAGAACUAUGUUACUGUUCCCCACAUUCUGAUUCCCAAAAAUGCUCUGUCUCAUCAGUGACACAGAAACUUGCUUCACUAAUACUCAAAGGCAUUUGGAUACAGAGCUGGCUGGAAAGUAGUGUUCACCAACAGAAAUGUAGCAUUGCAUUUUCAUUGAAAUUUAUUUUCUUAAUGAACAACAAAUCUCUUAUACUUGAUUUGACAAAAUAUUGGGCUUAAGAGUGUUAACUGGCACUAUUAAUGACAUGUGUGGCCUGUAUUUGUUUACCUUCUCUUAAUUAACAAGGAAUGUUUCAAGAUGCGUCACCCUUCUUAAUUCUUUGGACAUCUCUCUAUUUUUUUCUAUUUCGUUGUGCCAUAUUUAGAAAAGACUUCUUAAACACUUCCGAGUUUUAUAAAUUUUAUUUCCUAGUGCAGUCAUCUCGUGGCUUCUCUGGGUCUGAGGCUUUUCUGCCUUCAGUUUGGAAGCAACUGUUGCUAAGGGACUUUCAUAAAGCUGAUGAGAUGGUUUCCCUUCAGACAAAGGGAUUACAGGGGGGCCAGAGCCAGGCAGAGUGACUCUGUGUUAUGCUCCUGAUAGAAAAAAAAAAAUAAAUAAAUUAGGAAUUCUAGCAGCUAAAGUCCUGAUUUUGAAAAGAAUAAAUUUAAAUCCUUUUCCUGCUAUGCACUUUCUCCACAACCUUGGGUCCAUUUCUCAGCACCUGCCAUCACUCCCCAACCUUGGAGCAGCGGUUGGAGCGCAAAGGGGUCUCAUGAGGUUAAAAACAGCAAGUGCCAUCUAGUGCUUUAGCAACCCUGAUUGCCCACUGUUACUGGACCGUAAAGGUCAAACCCCAGUUCCAGGCUCCUCCUUUUUACUACACUUUUUAUUAUUAUUUUUUUUCGUCUGGCUCUGCAAAGACAUAACUCUGUGUCUAGGGCUAGAUAGCACCAGGCAUUUCAUUGGCCUUAUAGGAUUGCAGCUUGCCUGUGAAAGCUGGCCAAGUGAAAACCAGCCAAUAAUGUCUUUUUUGAGUGGCUUAAGCCGGUAUUUUUAGCAUUUCUAUUUAAACCAACGCUCAAAAAUCAGAGCAGGUAAUCACAAAUUUCAGCAUCAAGUAAAUUAUUAUAGCCAUGCUAUAAACCUGUGGGGAUUUGGGGAACAAAGUUAUAAUGAGUUCUGUGCCAGAGCCGGAACGUGGAGCCCUGAGCUCGCCUUUAGGAAAGAGUAAACUGGGCACUGCUUUAAAAACCAGCAACUAGCAUGGAACAAAUUAAAAAGGGAAGCGGCAAACUCCUCUGGGAUUCCAUAACUAUUUAAACAUUCCUCUGGGACAUCUGAAGUUCGGAGGAAAGGGGAGAGGGGCGGGAUGUGUGUAAAAAAAAAUGUUGCUAACUUAUAAGGAAUGUUAGCAAUAAAAAGGGACCCAUACGCGUGUGCCAUACCCUGAAUUAAUCAGAAAGCAGAUGUGUGCGUCUGCAGCCUCAACUUUUUCCCCUUGUUUUCUCUUCUGUUUCCUUCCUCCCUCUUCCUCCUCUCCCUCGCUUUUACAGUGGUUACACCUGCAUGAUGGAAGGAGCAGAGAGGGAGCUGCAAAGCUCAAAGCAUUUGGUGUGUUAGGUCAGAGCACAGAACAAUAGCACCAUAAAUCAUAUUUGGGGAGGAAACGGGGUGGCUAAUCCAAAAAUAAACCAUGUGUGAGUUUUAUUUAGCUGUGUUGUUGCUGAAGGGAGUUCACAACAGGGUAGAAAUAACACAGUGUUUUGGGGUUUGCCUCUUUCUCUGCCCUCUCCAGCAUAAUGAGCCAUGGGUCACACUCAUAGGGUGCACAGGGUCCCCACCUGGCACUGUCCCUUCUCUCUCUGUGUUGCUUGUCCCUCUUGGAGGAGCCACUGAGAGGUGCCAAGGGAUCCCAGUUGUCUACUUUGGCCCAGACUGGCCUUUAGCUGACUACUUCCUGUGAAAAUUGCUUUGUCUCCAACUAAGAAGGCAGGUCAGCUUCCCAAAAAACCCAGGAACCCAAAUCUAUCUUGCCUGUCAGCCUUUAACAUGCCCUUGGCUUGUGUGCCUUUGUGUGUUUGGGGGAGAAGCUGAAAGGUCUUCUCAGCCUUUAACACCAAAGUGAAGGAUGUGAGGUUUUGGUUUAUUAACAGAAGAAAAAGAGGAGAAAUAAAAUUAAAAAAAAAAAAAAAAAAAAGGCAACAACUGCCUAAAGCCCAAGUGUGACAUAAGGAGCCUCGAGGCAACAUUCAUCGUGUUUUUAAUGUGGUUUCCUUCAUCUCCGCGGGCUUGCCUGUUUGCUAGAGUGGAUUGUAUUUAGAUGAUGUGUUUACCAGAUCAACAGGAGGAUUCCCCCCCUCCCCCAUCAGAUCCACUACCCCAUAACUGAACCUAACAACAAAAUUAACAAAAAGAUCCAAUUUGUUCUUUAAAAACACAGCUCUGCAGCACAGUGUCAUUUUGUCCUCAUGCUAAUUCCAAGAAAGCAUUUGGCCUCAUUACUCAUCCCUGGAGGGACUGGAGAUGAGCAGUGCUUUGAUCCCUAAAAGCCCUCAGAAGUGUGACAUUUCAAUUUCAGAUUCAGAAGAUUGCAUGUUGGUCCCAAAAAGAAAACCGUUCCUCAUGUUGAAACAGUGUUGAUGCUUACCAGGUCACUUCAGUGUCUGAGAAACAAAGAUGGCAGAGCAGUCUUUACCAGCAUUACCUAAGGCCCCCUCGUUCUGUGUCCAAGCGUGCAUCCCAGACUUCGGCAGCCACUGUCAAGCUGUCCCUGCACAGACUGGCUGUGGACAUGCACACAGAUUAUUUUUCCGUUUAUUGUCAUUAAGAAACAGUGAUUCAUUUACAAACCAUUCCCGUUCAAAUUGGGAUUUUUAUGUUGUAUACCGCAUGAGAGAGAGAAAUCAGGAGCAGUAGCUAUAACCUUGCAGAUAAACUGUUCUACACGCUUGGCUGUCUUAAAUCUCAUAUGAUGUUUAUAAAGCUGUGAACCAACAGCUUUUGAACCAGUGUGUCCUAUGGAAUAACAAUGCCUCAGGCUUAUCUUUCAGAGAGCUCAAAGCUAGUUUUAAAUGUUUUGGAGCAUUACCUUGAUUUUGGAGAUGGGAAAACAGAGUUACAGAGAUGGAGAUUGAGGAGUACGAAGAAAAACAGUCUGAAAACAGAACCAGAUCUUCCCAGAAUUUAUGCUGGAAAGCAAUGCGAAGCAAAUUACAUCUUGGAGGAAUUAAAUGAGAUUCCCAAAGGCUCAAUAUGGGACCCUUUGCUAUUAAACCCCAGCAGAGACUGUAUGGUUAGCUGCAAUGAAGUUUUCCCAUCACAAGACAUCAAGUGAAAGGGAGUUGAGUUGGCCAGGGUUGCAGCAGAGCUUGCCUGGGUCUGUGGUCCAAGUGGUUCAUUUUUAGCUCAUGUUAGUAAGGGAUCCUGUGGGUCAUCUCUAGAGGCUGUUGGGUUUUGAAUGUAAGAGUUCAUUUCCAACAGACUCUCCGGGAUCUGAUGGAGCUGGGGUGAAGUAAGUAGCUUCAUUUCUGCAGAAAGUGAAGGGAAUCCCUUGACAUGGUGAUUUAUUUUUCUUUUUAUAAUAAUAUACAAAGACUACAUCAAUGCAGAAACGGUUGACCUUGCCAGACAGCAAGACAUGGGCAGAAAUUUUUGCCAGACUUUCAAAGAUGUGGGUCUCCCUAACUUGGUAGAUAAAGCCUCAGAGGAGAUGGGGAAGCACAUUCAGAAAGCCAGACAGGGGUGCAUAAGAGCAACCUUCCUAAUUUGGAUGAGACAGUACAGAUGUGUACUGACCUGUGUUAUUUAACAGAGAGACUAUUAUUGAAGUAUGAGUCGGAAAAGGAGGAACUGGGGAUACUUAGGUCUUAUUUGGGCAGUUACACUCAGUAUUGGACAGUUCUGGCUUUGGAAGCUCUCCAGAACAGGUGUUUAUCUUGCUUUGAGCCCAGCUGUGCUUUGCAAAGUCAGGGGCUUGGCUGAAGCUUAUGAACAAAUGACUUCACCUAAGUUAAUGUUGCAUCCAAGAUAUGUUCACCCUGGCUUGCUUACUUCCUAGCCUCACAGCUAAAAAGCUUUGCCUUCACUUUUUAAAGUGAGAAGUACCAGAUAAGCCUGUGAGUAGAAGUAUUUUCAUUAUUGUGUAUGUGGGAAUUGGUAGAUUUGGUGUCACCUAAAGGGCUCUUUGUCCCAAGGCUGCUUGAACAAGGAGCUGACCAUGAGCCCAUCUACUUCAUCUCUCCUGAUGAACUGCUGUGCACAUCCUGCUCUAGCACAUUCCCCAUGUCCCCUACCCUUGCUGUGCUAGGGAGGUCUUCUUCUUCCAGCUGUCACCUUGGCUCUCCCUGUGCUGCCCUGUCCUAUGCUGGAUGGCCUUUCUGAAGCAUCACAGGUUGUCUCUCACCCAUGGGGUGCUCUUGGUAAGCACAAGGUAGUGCCUGCUCUAGUUCCUUUGUGCUCAAUGCAAACUGCAGCAAACAAUUAAUGAAAGAAUUGCACACAAGUAUGAGAUGUCCCCAAAGUUGGCUUCAAUGAGAUUUUGGAAGUGAAGUAAAGGGAAUGUCCAGAGAGAGAAAAACAGAUGUCCAUCUGCCUGAGCCUGCGUAAGCAGCCACCAAGUCAGGAAAACAAUCCACCAACUUGCAGUACAAUUGAAGAUUUCUUGGGUUUGGAGGAAAUGUCUACUCCUUAACCCCCCAAAAAGACACACCCAAGCAUGCCAAAAACCUGAAGAAAAGCUUUGACGCUCCACCAGCGAUGACUUGAUGACAAUAGCGGGCAUGUAGCAAUUCAAGGCAAUGCAGUGACCUGCAAAAGGAGGAGAGCGCAGCCCCAGUGAUGACUGCAGUGAUGAACACGGUGUCAGACAGUGCAAGCUCACCUGCUGCUGAGAAAAAAGUGUUGGAAUUUCCAGGCACAUUCAUCCCAUGCGAAGGACCAGCCCAUGGAGCAGGAGAUGAGUAUCACCAGGCCCUUCAAGAAAGGAUGCUGCUCUUGACUGAAGUUCAGGAUGGUUUAAGCCAGCAGAGGAUAUGCCCUGAAGACAUUGCCUGAGACUUGAAGCUGGACCUAGGUGUCCUUGACUCUUUCUCCUGGCAUGCAGCAGCAAGCAGAGCUUCUCUUUUGCCAGUGUAGUUGUCAAAGAAGUAACUCGAGACACAAAGCUCCCCUGAAUGUUUUACUCAAUGAAUUUGCAAGAAGAAAUGACAGCUCACGCUCCUGAUCUGCCUUCUGCACCAUCUCAGAACCAUCACUGCUCUCCCACAGCAGCGGGACCCAUUCUUCCUUCUCCUGAUUGAAUGUUUCCCAGAGUGUCUAGACGUGUCGCCACCACCACUGAGGAGCUGAGAGAUACUAGGACUCAUCCAAAGAGCUGUAAAGAGUAAUGGAAUUGAGUGGGAAAUGGUUUUGUUGCCUCUCAGAGUGAAAAAUGUUUCCUGAGAUUCAAAAAAUGUGGUUGCUCCACUUGAGGAUCAAAGCUUCACAUUUUCUUGAUGGCUGCUAAGAAGAAUGAGUAGUCCAAAAAGCUGAGUUGUCAGGACAUCCACGGGGGACCUGAGACCUGGACAUCUGCCACCCUCCAGGCAGGGACCUCAGCCAGGAUUCACCUGAUCUGCAGGGCCAGCGAUGGAAGAUCAGGGGACUUCUGGCUCCAGUUGUCCCAGAGAUGCGACCUGUGCUAGGAUGUGGCCACUCUAAGGACAUCUCCUGUGAGGACAUGUCUACUCACCAUGUAGAUGUGUGGAGCUGGUCCAUAGAACCACCAGUGAACAUCUGCCAAACCAUUUGUUCAUUCAGGUCUGGAUGUCCAGCUCGAACCCUUCUGAAUACCCAAGGAGUAUUUCGUAUAUAUGUUUGCUCUUAGCCCCUCUUUUUGUAGGAACCAGUUAAAGGGUUAAUACGUCUGCAGAACUGCCAAGGGAAAUGGGAGAGCCAGCAAGCCCAGGUCUUCGCUGGUGUCUGUCAUUGCAGGGUCUGUCUUUCAAAGCCUAUAUAAAUAAACUUCCUAGUAAACUCAGCAAUUUUGUCAUCAUAAAGGCUGGCAGCCUUUCCUGGCAAUAAAAUAAACUCUAAUCAUUUCUUCAAAUAAAACACAAAUAGCAGCAAUACAUUCACAGGAGGUUCUGGCCGAUUUUGCUUCUCUUCCCCACCCGCCCCAACCUCCAGCCACCCCACCAUGUGCGUGCCAUGCCAGCCAGUGAUGGAUGGAGAAACGCAAGGGCACUCUGCUGCUAAAUGCCUAAAAGGAAACAGACCCGAUGUCUGCAACGUAAAUCAGGAAUGGGCAAGGAGCUCAAACGAAAUAAGAAACCGCUCUGAUCCUCCUGUCAUGUGGCUUAACCAGAUCAAAAAUACUCCUGCCCCCUCCACAGAUCUUGAGGAUGCUUUCCUUCCCUUUCUCAUGCACACCUAUUUCCUUACCAGCUCUCUUUUGCUACAAAAAAAUAAGCUCUGGUAAUCUCUGGAGAAGCCUGCUCUUGCCAUUUGCUCUCCAUGGUGUGGCUGAUUGAAAACUAUGCUUCGCAAAGAAUAUGUUCAAGGGACAACCACUGCUCCAACAAAAGGAAAACCUUGAGUCAAAAAUACACGUGUGUCAGUGAUGUUGCAUCCCUUUUCCUGUAGAAAACCAACCAGAAACCAGACAAACGUGAGCAGAAAGGAUUGCAAAAGUGGAAAAGAAAGAAAAAAAAGCACGAGUCCUUCCUGCCCCUUGUGCACCUGAACACACUUCUCUUUUGAGGCUUGUUCUGCAAGAUGUAUUGGAGAGCAGAAAAGGGAGAUGGAAAUGGAAAAAGACAUGGAACUAUAAUUUUUCUUAUAACAUUUUAUCUGGUGUGUUUGUUUGGAGAUUAGGAAAAACAAUGAUGGGUUUAUGUGCAGACCCAUGGACGCAAGAAAUUCACAUCCCGUGCUUGCACAAAUUCACUCUGUCCCCAGGAAUGUGCCUGAUCCCUGUUGAAUAACCUGUCCUUCUGCUUGUUGAAUAUUUAGCUGGCGAGCAGCUCCCAGCUCAGCCCCACCACACAUUUGUGCAAUAUCUCCCUGGAAUCCCAGCUCAACUGCAUCUACACUGCAGCACAUAUAGCAGCUACGACUGCUAUUAAACUGCAACAAGACCCAAAUGUGCUCAAUAGGCACCACGGCGGGGGGUGCGCGGUGAUGCCGAGGGCGCAUCCAGAGCACUGUUGCUUUCUGCAUCCAUUUCAAACACAAGCACAAUAUGGUCCGAUUUCAGUCAUCUGUAAAAUAGAGCUGCUGGCUCUUGUCCUAGUGUGGCGUCAGCCUCUCCAGAUGAUGAAAGUGUGUCACUUGGGGCAGGUCUCCAGCACAGUCCAUCUCCCCCUGCCUUAGAUCUAAGGCAACAGAACUUCUGCCAAGCAUUUUGUGUCCGGUGGAGGGGUUUUUUGCAAUGAAAAUACCCAGUUCUGGAAAGUUCAGAGCGUUUUGAAAAAGUUUCACUGAGCAGCUUGGCUGAGAAAUGUUCGUUAAAAAUCUGAGGACAUGGGUUUCUUCCAAUAUAUAUUCUGAAAUAAAACAUCGUGGCUUUUCCACGCAAAACUACCUUUGCUUUUUUAAUAUCCUUAUUUUGUUUUGCUUCAGUUUUUGAAUGCAAUUUUCACUUGCUCAAAACUUCAAGGCAGUGUUUCUCUCUUAACCUUAAGCAAAAUAGUUCACUCUACCUGAAACUGGUAUCAUUUUGGUUUGGUUUGAUGAACUAAAAAAAAAAAAAAAAAGAA
Long non-coding RNA from Columba livia (rock pigeon), 21447 nucleotides. RefSeq lists it as uncharacterized. Lineage: Eukaryota; Metazoa; Chordata; Aves; Columbiformes; Columbidae. The record is from RefSeq and is a predicted model, not a curated record. The transcript is spliced from 9 exons.